UUUUGAUGCUAAUUAGAUAUGACAGUGACUCUCAAGGUCACACAAUUAUUGGCUGUCACAAACUCAUGGAUGCCAGGAGUUAUGUUGAAGUAUGCCUGUGGCUCUUUGGCCUUCUCAAGUCUGAGGCUCAAUACCAAGGCCAAAACUAGUUCCCAGCCCAUGCAUACUAUCCCCCAUUUCUCAGGGGGUCUUCUACCAAAAUGAAUGUAUAAACUAAGAAAGAAGAAAGCGUGAGAUUCAGGCAACACGAGGUCCAGCUUAAUGGAGGGAGGAAGCAAAUCUCUAAUUGAUGGUGAAAGGAGGCUUUGGGUCCACAGCUGUGAAACAGGGGUAGCUGGCAACCAGUCCAGAGGAUCCAGAGAUAGAGCUCCAGGAAGUUGAACUUGAUAGAAUAUCUGAUGUGUCUGAAGGACAGGGGAAGUGGGGAAGGGUUUAGAUGGAGAGGUGAGAGCUGAGGUUAGGGUUAGUGUUAGGGUUCGGGUUAGGGUUAGGGUUAGAGUUAGGGUUAAGGUUAGUGAUAGCUAUGGGAAAUUGUAUCAGAUACGCACUCUAUGAGCCUCUUCUAGCUGUUGCUGCAGUGGGCCAACCAGUAGUCCCCAGAGUUUGUGUUUUCCCAUCACGGCCAGUGUUGGAUGAGACCCUUUGCCACGGGGUGUGGGACCUGGGCAGCCCAAGAAGAGACCGGAUAAUGCAACCUGGAUGUGCCUGGAAAUACAUUCACGGUGAGAAAACGUUACCGAAGUGAGAGACCAGAGACAGGAAGGAGGCGACAGAUGAAUUUUCUUUCCUUCUGCUCUUCCAUGGCGGAUGCAAAGAUGUGGUUUCACUUUGCAGCUCGCUCAGUUGGAGAAAUAGCAGGUGCAAAUGAACAUACCUGGCCACGCCACCGGCUGCAGCUCUUCAUGGCUCUUGUGUCACCAAGGUGGUGACACACCACUUUGCAUUGUUGCCCAUUUUCAAAAGAUACAUUUAAAAACGCAUUUCCAGUGCUAGUUAUGAUAAAGGGCAAGAUUGUGGUUGUGUUGCUGUUCACUCUAAGAUGGAGUUAGGGUAAGUGUAUGUUUCACUUCUAAGGGAACUUGCAGUUUUCUGGAGUAAUUGUGCCUUUUUCUAUUUCCUCUAGCUCAGGUGAUUUGCCUGUGAUGCUCCUCAAAGGAGUGGCCGUCUCAUCAGAACUUCCUGCAGUCGGCAGUGGGCCUGCAUCACCUGCAGUGAUGGAACAGACGUCGUUAAUCCAUCAAGACGUUCUCCGUGUGAGCCAGGAGCCAGCCUCAUAGGCCUCCAUGCAGCCCCGCCAAUCAACCCAAGAUGGCACCCCCUCCUCCAGGAAGCCUCCUUGCUUCAGCCCCAGAGCCUCCCCGCGCACCAGUGUGACCGUGGCCUUGCACAGUUCCAGAGAAGGGGGACCCUGUCGGCAUGGUGACAAAGGCACGGGCCAGGCCAAGAGAGCGGGUGCCCAGAGGCGCUGUCCACGCUGCCUCUCACUGUCCUGGCGUCAGGAAGACUCGGCUCAUGUUCUCGGCCCUGGAAACUAUGCCCUCAUCUUGGGCUUUCUCCAUCACCACCAGCUCCGCUCGCUUGGACAGCCGCCCCGGGGAAUUCGCUCAGCAAAACAAAUAGACAUGUAUUUGGUAUCGGAUCACUGGCAGCGGGGAUGGGUUCUGGCCCGUGGACUGGAGCCGAGGCCAAGUACCGUUCUCCGGAAGCAUGAGGCCUCCCCCCGCAUGCAGACCCCAGGUGGGAGGGCACAGGACCGAGGGACAGCGGCUCCACGUGUGCAUGGGCCCCCCUGAAGCUCCGGAGCGACUGUCCAAGGUCACACAGCAAGUUUGGAGGAGCCGCCCCGGGAACCCAGGCUCCCAGCCCUCCCCGCCCAGGUGCCCCCCGGGCUGGCUUGUGCAGGAUGGACAUCAUCCUUGGGUGUUUGCCAGCGCUUGGAGCUUAAUGAGGUAGACGCUGAUUUAAUGAGUAGAAAGGCCAGUUUGGGGAUUCUCGGAUACAAUGAUAAUCAUCAUUCCUAAAGAAGGACAACAGAACUUUACAAGAUUUUAAAGUAAUUUUCUGAUCCUCGCAGAUCAAAUGAUGUUUAAGGGAGUGUGGGAGCUAGCAGGUGCUCUGUCUAAAGUAGCCGUCCUCCUCUGGAACACUAUCAACAAUAAAAAAUAUAUAAAGUAGCCGUCCUCCAAUGCCAGUGUGCGUAAAACCAGCCAAUCACUGAUGGGGCCACCUCCCAGUGGGCCUGGAUAUGUGACUGACUGCACAGAAUAUUCUAGCUCUCCAGUGGCUGGACACCCGUUCUUGGAAUCCUACUUGAAAAACCAGACAGGCCUCAGAAACAUGCCUGCAUCUGUGACCCCGAGGUAGAUGCAUCAAAGAUACUGAUUGGCUGAAGCAGUGCUCGCAGGGAUGGGUGUAGAGGCUGGAAGGAAGAGGCGUGUGUUCUGGACCUCCAGCAUCUGAACUUGCUUUGCUGUUGGGCUAGAGCCCCUUCCUGGAGUUAAAGCUGAAAGCGCCAGGUAACCUGUUCCUGAACCUUCUUUGCAAGAGGGGCUUGGGCUCUGCAGAUGAGACGGUCCCCAUCCAG
Long non-coding RNA from Myotis brandtii (Brandt's bat), 2584 nucleotides. RefSeq lists it as uncharacterized. Lineage: Eukaryota; Metazoa; Chordata; Mammalia; Chiroptera; Vespertilionidae. The transcript has 4 exons. The record is from RefSeq and is a predicted model, not a curated record.